CUACGUAGGGUGCGAGCGUUGUCCGGAAUUACUGGGCGUAAAGAGCUCGUAGGUGGUUUGUCGCGUCGUCUGUGAAAUUCCGGGGCUUAACUCCGGGCGUGCAGGCGAUACGGGCAUAACUUGAGUACUGUAGGGGAGACUGGAAUUCCUGGUGUAGCGGUGAAAUGCGCAGAUAUCAGGAGGAACACCGGUGGCGAAGGCGGGUCUCUGGGAAGUAACUGACGCUGAGGAGCGAAAGCAUGGGUAGCGAACAGGAUUAGAUUCCCUGGUAGUCCAUGCCGUAAACGGUGGGCGCUAGGUGUAGGGGUCUUCCACGACUUCUGUGCCGUAGCUAACGCAUUAAGCGCCCCGCCUGGGGAGUACGGCCGCAAGGCUAAAACUCAAAGGAAUUGACGGGG
Molecule: ribosomal RNA, 398 nt
Filed under: uncultured bacterium
Lineage: Bacteria
Description: partial 16S ribosomal RNA
Rfam family: Bacterial small subunit ribosomal RNA
Source: RNAcentral